Molecule: transfer RNA, 71 nt
Filed under: Salmonella enterica subsp. enterica
Lineage: Bacteria; Pseudomonadati; Pseudomonadota; Gammaproteobacteria; Enterobacterales; Enterobacteriaceae
Description: tRNA-Ala
Rfam family: tRNA
About the family: Transfer RNA (tRNA) molecules are approximately 80 nucleotides in length. Their secondary structure includes four short double-helical elements and three loops (D, anti-codon, and T loops).
Source: RNAcentral
GGGGCUAUAGCUCGCUGGAGAGCGCCUGCUUUGCACGCAGGAGUUCGCGUUCAUCCCGCAUAGCUCCACCA